Molecule: ribosomal RNA, 235 nt
Filed under: uncultured bacterium
Lineage: Bacteria
Description: partial 16S ribosomal RNA
Rfam family: Bacterial small subunit ribosomal RNA
Source: RNAcentral
GAUGAACGCUAGCUACAGGCUUAACACAUGCAAGUCGAGGGGCAUCAGGAAGAAAGCUUGCUUUCUUUGCUGGCGACCGGCGCACGGGUGAGUAACACGUAUCCAACCUGCCUUUACUCGGGAUAGGCCUUUCGAAAGAAAGAUUAAUACCCGAUAGCAUAAUGAUUCCGCAUGGUUUCAUUAUUAAAGGAUUCCGGUAAAAGAUAGGGGAUGGCGUUCCAUUAGGUUGUUGGUG